GCUAAUGAUGAGUGAAUUGUCGCCCCAGUCUUAUGCAAAUGCAUUUGAUGACUGACAUGCAACUGAAGC
This is a small nucleolar RNA of Rhopilema esculentum, 69 nucleotides long. RefSeq annotates it as small nucleolar RNA U31b. Lineage: Eukaryota; Metazoa; Cnidaria; Scyphozoa; Rhizostomeae; Rhizostomatidae. The record is from RefSeq and is a predicted model, not a curated record.